AACUGAAAAAACAAAUUAAGCAACAGAGGAAAAACAAAUCCAGAGAAAUAGCCUCUUCCGGGGAAGUCUGACCUCCCUGUCUAGAAGGUGAGGACAGUGCUGCGGCCGUGUUUCUGCUGGCUCCGGCCCGAGGCUGUCUCCCAGACAGCUGCUGUCCCACUGAAUUAGGUUCAAGCGAACACGGCCAUUGAGAUCCAAAGUAUUUCUGGCUGGUUUGGGCGUGGGUCCUUUCUCUAGAUGAAUAUUUUAAUGUGGGAAUUCAGAGGAAAGCUAUGGGGAAAGCAGUGUUGGUCAACUGACGACGCUAAAGAACCACCUUCGGUGGUUGUCACGGUGAGUUUGGCACUGAAGGCUCUUUGCUGUUCUGACCUGAAGCUCUCUGUUAGGACUUCCUGCUAUUUUUCUCACAAGCCCUCAUUUUCGCUGACAGUUCAGAUCAUGCCCUGUGCAUAUCCAGUUCCCCCGGUAGGCACGGCUCCUCCUUUCACCUCAAUGCCCCGCUUUCCGCUCGGCCCACACUGGACUCUUGCUACCUCUUGUUUUGGCUUAUGUUUAAUCUUACUUUUUUAAAGCAACAUCUUCUGAUUAUGAAAUAAUUUAUACUUUUUUUUUGCAGAGAAUGUGGAAAAUACAGAAAAGUAUAAGCAGAAGCAUAAAAAUUAUUCACAGUUGCACCCUUGGAGGGAGCUGUCCUAUAAAUCUUGGUGAAUUUGCUGCCCUUCUUUUUUCUGUGGAUCUGUCUAUUACAUGUGAUAGUUUUUAAAGCUGAUGUCAUGUUAUUGAUGUAGUUUUGCUUCUUGCUUUAUCCAUUGAAGACUAUAAUGUGAGAAAUUUCCUCGCUGGGGCUCUUCCCAAACCUGAUAUUUACUGACCACACCAAUAUUCAAUUGAAUGAGGGAGUGUCAUAAUUCAAUCACUUAUAGUUUCCAGAAACGUUGUGCUCAUUUACAUUUUCCUUAGCAGCAUAUGAGGGUGCAUGAAUCCCAUCAUCACAACGCAAUGGAAUUAGGGAGAAAUGCCAGUGAAAGAUGAAGAGAGAUGAGGCAGGACUAGCAGGAGCGCCUCAGACCCUCAUUUCUGCAGGCAAGAAAGGAAAGGAUCCUGUGGAAGGGUCUCCCACUGCUGUGUGAUUCUAAAAGCUUUGGGCAGGGGAUAGGGAGUCUCCAAACCAAAGCCUGGUGGCCAUUCUGUGACAGGCAGGAGUGGGCUGCUAUGAGGACCCUGGUCAUGUUGAAGCUUUGGCGGGGGGUCACCAAGAGGUGGAUAGCUGGAGCUGUCAGUCAACUCUGCUUCCCAGGGGCAGAUUCUCUCAAAACAGACCAGAACUAUAGCCCUUGCUCUCCCAUGCCCACCCCACUUCACCUGAUAAACAGGAAAUAUAAUUAAAACAUAUAAUUAUGAACUGUGAAAAUGGUCUAAUUUUGCUGGUUUUCAUUCUUCUGAUUAACCUUGAUGUCAAACAUUUCUCAUGAAUUUUGUUACAUACUUGUACUUCUAAGAAUUGUGUGCCUGGGUUCUCUGUUUGCCCGUGAUUGUUUUCUUUAUUGAUGUUUUAAGAGGAUUUGCGGCAUUAAGCCUGUUAACUCUUUCUCCAUUCUCUUUCAUAUUUUAACCAAUUUAUCACUUCUCUUUAUAUUUUAUGUAGGAUGUUUGGAUGUUUUAGAAUAACUCACUCUUCUGUUAAGAUCACUUUUAUUUACUUCAUGUUCAGAAAAUUCUUGCUCAUCCAGGCUCUAGUUAAAUAUAUGCCAGUAUUUUAUUCUAGAUACUUUUGGAUUCUUUUUUUUACAUUUAAUACACUGGGGUUUUAUUUCAGUGUAUGAGGGAGGGAUCAAACUUGAUUAUUUUCCCCCCUUUUAGCCACAUUUUCCAAUUUUACUUUCAGAUAAUUUAACCAUUAACCAUUUCUUCCUGGUGAUUCCUUUCUGAGAUUUAAAUUUUUAAAAUAUGUAUGAUAGAUCUCAGGACUAUCUGUUUCUACUUCAUUGGAUGAUCUACAGAAUCUUGUACCACCAGCACCACACUGUUUUAAUUAUUGUAUCAAGAAUAAUACAGUUAGAUAUCUCUUAGGGACAGUAUCUCCUUGAUAUUCUUUAAGCAGUUCUUAACUCUUCUCAUCCUUUUUUUCCCUUCCAGAUGGACUUUCAUCAAAUUCAAAGAAAAAAAAAAGAUUCCACUGGGAUUUAAUUCAGAUUGCAUUUCACCGAAAAAUUACAAGGAUUAACAACAAGGAUUAAUAGCAUUGCUGCAUUCAUUAUGGCAACCCAAGGUUAUGUCUCUCUAUUGACUAUUCUCUUUAAUUAAUCUGUGUAAAAAGUUUGCAUUUUUAAUAUAGGUCUUGGAUAUUUCUUAUUAGUGUUCUUUAUAUUUUUUUCCAAUACUCUUAAGAAUGCAUUUUUCUCCCUAUAUUUUCUGCUUGUUGUUAGAAUAGAAACAGUAUUUAUUUUGGAGAUUUUUGUAUUUUUAUCUUGUAUCUGACCCCUUCCCUAAUUUUUAUGAAUACUAAGAAUUUUACAGUCAGUACUUUUAUAUUAUCUUGGUGCAUAAUCAUAAUGUAGUCUGUAAGUAACAAACAUUUUGUUUCCUUCUUUCUAUUGUAGAGUUUGAGAAGUCGUCAGUGUGUAGUCCUGUUACCUUAAUUGUUUCUGAGUUAUGGGUUGAAUUUAUUUUGAAAUUUCAAAAAACUUCAAAGGGUAGUAUGUUAUUUUUGUGUUAAUCAAAAUGAACAAUGGGUUUCAAAAGCUUGAACAACGUCAUCUUGGGAGUGCCAAAUGAAUAGGAUGUCCUGUAUGUCAGGAGCAUGCCCACACUUUUCUUGCUAGGGUGAGUUUAUUGUCCCUGAUGAAUCCCAGGAGUACUAGUCCAUGAUGCUCUUAUUCCCUGGUGCUUUAACAUGCAGUGCAGCCGGAGUUGGCCUGAACUUUAGGAAAUGAGGUCGUAAGUCGAAAGAACAGGGAAUUGAGAAAGCACACAGAAGCAGCCAGGGCCAACAUUUUCCCCUAAACAAGCCAAUCAACAAAAAGCAAUGCCAAACAAGCCCCUUUGAAACUUUCAAAGUCCUCAUCCUAGUACCUUCCUAGCACUCUAGGAGACAUCUUUCAGCUGUUGAUUUAUGAACGCUGAGAGGCACGUGGAGGAAUUAAUGGAGGUAAAUAUCUAACUUAAAAAAUCUUCAGUAGGCAUUUUUAGACAAUCCUCCUUGAAAGAAAAGUGUGGAUGCUCUGUGCGUGUAUUGACUGCACCUGCAGGGGUAUAGCUGGAGAACACCCAGUGAGCAUCUUCAGGAGCCAAGUCACGCAGGGGCUUAGCUCUCAGUCCAUUGCGACAGUUGCCAUGAUGCCUUCUGACCAUUAAACACUUUGAACUCUUUUCUCUCAUCCUCUGUUAUUUGCUUUGGACCCAUAACAGACUCAUUAGUUAAAAAUAAGAAGCAAAGGUAAUCCUGAUGUUGAAUUACAAGUUAAUGCAGAGCACAGACAUGAAAAUAAUUCUAUGGGUUUGCUGCAGCAUAAUCCUUGCCAGAUCUCCAAGUUCCAUUCAUCUAAUGAAAAGCCUUAGUUUGAAGAACAUUUUGGAGAACUCUUACAUCAAGAGGUCUCCAGUACCUCAAAAACCAGUGUUCAAAAGGAAAAUGCACACGCGCAUUUCAGGGAGGUGGGAAUAAAAGCCUUCCUUUGCGCAGCGUGUUACAUGUGGAAAUGUGGAACGCACACGAUCAUUCUUACUGUUAAAAAACCCCACAAAGAUUAUAAAAAUAUGUCAGUUUUUUUUUGGUGCAAAAACUCACACGAUUAAAAAUAUUAUACUAUGAAAGC
RNAcentral lists this long non-coding RNA (3815 nucleotides) under Homo sapiens (human). RNAcentral's name for it is "novel transcript". Lineage: Eukaryota; Metazoa; Chordata; Mammalia; Primates; Hominidae. The record is from RNAcentral.